CAAGUCGAACGAAUUCCGGUAGCAAUACCGGGGGAAGUGGCGAAAGGGGCAGUAAGGCAUGGCUAACCUACCCCGGGGACGGGGAUAGCCUCCCUAACGGGAGGGUAAUACCCGGCGAUGCGGCGGGGGGGCCUCCCCCUGCCGUGAAACGAGUUUCGCCUCGGGAGGGGGUCAUGUGCUAUUACCUGGUUGGCGGGGUAACGGCCCACCAAGGGGAAGAUGGCUAGCGGGUGUGAGAGCACGACCCGCGCCACUGGCACUGAGACACUGGCCAGACUCCUACGGGAGGCUGCAGUCGAGGAUCUUCGGCAAUGGGCGCAAGCCUGACCGAGCGACGCCGCGUGUGCGAUGAAGGCCUUCGGGUUGUAAAGCACUGUCGAGGGGGAGGAAAGCCGCAAGGCCUGACCUAUCCCUGGAGGAAGCACGGGCUAAGUUCGUGCCAGCAGCCGCGGUAAGACGAACCGUGCGAACGUUGUUCGGAUUCACUGGGCUUAAAGGGCGCGUAGGCGGCUUGCCAAGUCAGGGGUGAAAUCUUUCGGCUCAACCGGAAAACAGCUUCUGAUACUGGCGGGCUUGAGGGAGGUAGGGGCGGAUGGAACUUCCGGUGGAGCGGUGAAAUGCGUAGAUAUCGGAAGGAACGCCGGUGGCGAAAGCGAUCCGCUGGACCUCCUCUGACGCUGAGGCGCGAAAGCCAGGGGAGCAAACGGGAUUAGAUACCCCGGUAGUCCUGGCCCUAAACGAUGGGGACUAGGUAGUGGACUUGACAUGGGUUCACUGCCGAAGCUAAAGUGUUAAGUCCCCCGCCUGGGGAGUAUGGUCGCAAGGCUGAAACUCAAAGGAAUUGACGGGGGCUCACACAAGCGGUGGAGCAUGUGGCUUA
RNAcentral lists this ribosomal RNA (880 nucleotides) under uncultured Planctomycetota bacterium. RNAcentral describes it as "bacterial SSU rRNA". It matches the Rfam family "Bacterial small subunit ribosomal RNA", at positions 58 to 948 of the family's 1533-position model. Lineage: Bacteria; Pseudomonadati; Planctomycetota. The record is from RNAcentral.